GCUGUAGCUCAGCAGUAGAGCAUCUGCUAUGCAUGCAGAAGGCCACAGGUUCAAUCACCAGCAUCUGCA
This is a non-coding RNA of Podarcis lilfordi (Lilford's wall lizard), 69 nucleotides long. NCBI's taxonomy places the organism in Eukaryota, Metazoa, Chordata, Lepidosauria, Squamata, Lacertidae. The record is from the annotation of a GenBank genome assembly.